RNAcentral lists this transfer RNA (75 nucleotides) under Blastopirellula retiformator. RNAcentral's name for it is "Planctomycetes bacterium Enr8 tRNA-Val". It matches the Rfam family "tRNA". Rfam says of the family: Transfer RNA (tRNA) molecules are approximately 80 nucleotides in length. Lineage: Bacteria; Pseudomonadati; Planctomycetota; Planctomycetia; Pirellulales; Pirellulaceae. The record is from RNAcentral.
GGGCGGUUAGCUCAGUUGGCUAGAGCGUUACGUUGACAUCGUAGAGGUCACAGGUUCGAGCCCUGUACCGCCCAC